Molecule: ribosomal RNA, 497 nt
Filed under: uncultured bacterium
Lineage: Bacteria
Description: partial 16S ribosomal RNA
Rfam family: Bacterial small subunit ribosomal RNA
Source: RNAcentral
GAUGAACGCUGGCGGCGUGCCUAAUACAUGCAAGUCGAGCGAACGGACGAGAAGCUUGCUUUUCUGAUGUUAGCGGCGGACGGGUGAGUAACACGUGGAUAACCUACCUAUAAGACUGGGAUAACUUCGGGAAACCGGAGCUAAUACCGGAUAAUAUUUUGAACCGCAUGGUUCAAAAGUGAAAGACGGUCUUGCUGUCACUUAUAGAUGGAUCCGCGCUGCAUUAGCUAGUUGGUAAGGUAACGGCUUACCAAGGCAACGAUGCAUAGCCGACCUGAGAGACUGGUAGGCCACACGGGAACUGAGACACGGUCCAUACUCCUGCGGGACGCACCAGUAGGGAAUCUUCCGCAAUGGUCGGGAGCCUUACGGAGCAACGCCACGUGAGUGAUGACGGUCUUCGGAUCGUAAAACUCUGUUAUUAGUGAAGAACAUAUGUGUAAGUAACUGUGCACAUCUUGACGGUACCUAAUCAGAAAGCCACGGCUAACUACGUG